GGCUAGUUGGCUGUUACGGCACCCACCUCCAAACUUCCUCAUUCCAGCUAGAGAAGCGGCCCGCCCUCCCUCUCUGGAUAUAGUGCGGGUUUGUGCUGCUCACCCCUUUGGGGGCCCAGUUCCUAUGGCUCCUGUCUUGCCUGACAGCCGCUGGAGGAAGAUAGUAAGUGUAAGGAGCUAGGAAGACACCACAAGGGAGAUGAGCAUAUGGCAAUGUCUUCCUUUGCAGAAGUUAAAGAUUACUUGCACCCAGAGGUUGAGCAAGACUGGAGUGGGCCCUGGGUCAAAAGGUGAAGAUGGGCCUCUGAACAUCCCCACCUUCUUCUUCAGAGAGGCUGGAGUGGGAGAGAGAACAAGCUGUCAACUAGUAGACCAAUCCCUCCCCCAGGAAAAGUUACCCUCCUCCCUCCUGAUCAAUUACAGCUAUGUCCUUGCUUCUACCCUUCUUUAAAUGUAAUAAUACUUCAACAUUUCAAAGGUUCUUCUUUACAUGGUGAAGCUCCAAAGACCGAUGAUAAGCAGCAAGGAUGGAAAGCAAGUUUCUGUCAUUUGAAAUACCAAUAUGGAACAACUGGAAGA
Hemicordylus capensis (graceful crag lizard) is the source of this 579-nucleotide long non-coding RNA. RefSeq lists it as uncharacterized. The record is from RefSeq and is a predicted model, not a curated record. Lineage: Eukaryota; Metazoa; Chordata; Lepidosauria; Squamata; Cordylidae. The transcript is spliced from 4 exons.